CUACGGGGCGCUCCAGUGGGGAAUAUUGCACAAUGGGCGCAAGCCUGAUGCAGCCAUGCCGCGUGUAUGAAGAAGGCCUUCGGGUUGUAAAGUACUUUCAGCGGGGAGGAAGGGAGUAAAGUUAAUACCUUUGCUCAUUGACGUUACCCGCAGAAGAAGCACCGGCUAACUCCGUGCCAGCAGCCGCGGUAAUACGGAGGGUGCAAGCGUUAAUCGGAAUUACUGGGCGUAAAGCGCACGCAGGCGGGUUGUUAAGUCAGAUGUGAAAUCCCCGGGCUCAACCUGGGAACUGCAUCUGAUACUGGCAAGCGUGAGUCUCGUAGAGGGGGGUAGAAUUCCAGGUGUAGCGGUGAAAUGCGUAGAGAUCUGGAGGAAUACCGGUGGCGAAGGCGGCCCCCUGGACGAAGACUGACGCUCAGGUGCGAAAGCGUGGGGAGCAAACAGGAUUAGAUACCCGUGUAGUC
Molecule: ribosomal RNA, 464 nt
Filed under: uncultured bacterium
Lineage: Bacteria
Description: partial 16S ribosomal RNA
Rfam family: Bacterial small subunit ribosomal RNA
Source: RNAcentral